CAAGAUUGAGAUUAAAAUGCUUAGCAAGGGGAGCAAGAGCUGUGCUUCAAGUAUAUCCUGAAAACCUAGCCCAGUUUGAGUUAAUUUUGAGUUAUGCAAUGCGUGCUGGAUUUGCUGGUGGUGUGGUUGUUGACUACCCACACAGUACCAAAACGAGAAAAGAAUACCUUGUCCUCGGCACUCCCGAUCCUGGUGGAAAAGGUGAAGAUGGAGAGAAUUGCUCCGAUGAAGA
This is a long non-coding RNA of Hibiscus syriacus, 232 nucleotides long. RefSeq lists it as uncharacterized. The record is from RefSeq and is a predicted model, not a curated record. Lineage: Eukaryota; Viridiplantae; Streptophyta; Magnoliopsida; Malvales; Malvaceae. The transcript is spliced from 3 exons.